Molecule: transfer RNA, 68 nt
Filed under: Marmota monax (woodchuck)
Lineage: Eukaryota; Metazoa; Chordata; Mammalia; Rodentia; Sciuridae
Description: tRNA.Ala
Rfam family: tRNA (bases 5-65)
About the family: Transfer RNA (tRNA) molecules are approximately 80 nucleotides in length. Their secondary structure includes four short double-helical elements and three loops (D, anti-codon, and T loops).
Source: RNAcentral
GGAUUGUGGCUCAGUGGUAGAGCGCUUGCCUAGCAUGUGUGAAGCACUGGGUUCGAUUCCCAGCACCA